CAGGUGAGGGCAGAGUCUUUACAGCCUGCGCUUCAGAUAGACUGUAAACCCCAAAACUGGAGAAUCUCACACAGCCAAAAGUGAUUUCUGUAGCUGAACAGAUGGAGGUUGGCUUGGCUGCAGCUGAUGCCAUGCGCGGAACGGAGUAUGAAGCAGGAGCUGAUCCAGAUAUUCUUUAUCAAUUGAACCAAAGAUCCAUUUGCACCUGGCUUUCUCAGCCCAAUGGACACGAGGGACCUUCAGGAGAAUAAUAGUGAUCAACACACAGACAGAUGGAUGGACAGAAGGAUGGAUGAAACCAUGGAUGAAUGGAUACACAGAAGGAUGAAGGGAUAGACUGAUUUUUGCAGAAUGCAGAACGUCACAAUUAAUAAAUUGUAUAAAUCUAUUUAAAAUACGCGAUCGCACUGGCCUGAUAUUUAUGCUAAACAGCUUGGUCUUGUCAUGAGAACACUUUGUUCAUAUAUAUUAACUUGUCUUAAUGUACUUUAUUACAGUGCUUUUUUCUCCUUUUGUUAUUUGUAACAUUUUAGUUUGGUGAAUUAUCUUUACGGAGCAAAAAUACUAAUAUCAGCUAGUUACCAUCAAAGACAACCAAAAGCGUUAUUGGCAACCUAACUGUAAUUAGUAGGCUAUGUGACCAACUGCCAGUAUGGUCACAAUGUUGGCAGGUUUUAAGAUAACCAAGCUUCAGUUGACUGUGUGCAUGUUUACAAGACAACUAUGUGCUUUAUGUGCUGUAUUAUGCAUGUCAGGCCAGUGAUAGUUGAAAACGUGUUGUGUAAUAUAUUUAGCUAUAAGUUAAUAGUUUUAUUACCAUAAAAAUUUAAAUUCACAACAUUCUUUUACAGUUUUUUUUUUCAUUUGCUAACAUCCCAAUGCUAACAACCCAGUCCAAUCAAUAGUCACAUUUUUAAAACUCUAAUUAGCACAACAUCCGUUUGUAGUGACCAUACCAUUAACACAAUUCAUGUUGUUUUCACACAAUAUUCUGUCAAUUAACAUGUUUCUAAAAUGCUUAAAUUUUCAUGCUACACGAGCUUAACCCAUACCAAAAUCAUUUUACAAAUGCUUAAACACAGCAUUACAGAAAUGAAGACCUAAUGUUCCAAACUUUAAAUAUAACAUAAAGCCUCUACUUCUGCAACAACAGCAGAUUAAAAGAGCCGAUAAGAAUUAUUUUAAUUACUAAUAAUUGAGAAAUAGCUGAUUCCAGUCUUAAUGAAUAGUUCCAAGUCUUGCCAUUACAUGGGCAUGCACAAUAUAAAAGGCAUCCUCUGGAUUGGUUUUGUUCAAAACAAUGCAGAACAGCAAAGAGAAGCAGAAAAAGAAAGAAAAUGUCUGGAGGAGGGAGAGUUGGACAAGAGAGAGGAGUAGUUGGAUGUGGGAGAGUGGUUGGACCAGGACUGUUUGGUUUGGUUCAGCUACCAAAGCAGACAUCAAGCGACUACAGUGGACAGUCAGGACUGCUGAGAGGAUUAUUGUCCCCCCUGCCCAACCUCCAAGAUCUUUACAUCUCAAGAGUGAGGAAAAGGGCUAGGAAAAUCACUCUGGACCCCCACACACCCAGCCCACUCGCUCUUCAAAAAGCCAGACAUAAGAACUUUAUUUCCCCUGCAGACUAUAUUUAGCACAAACAAUUAAAACAUUCAUACCGUCACAACUGAUGCAUUUAUACAAAUGAUAGAAUCUGGAAAUUGUACAUUUGUAUACUAGACAUCUGUAAAUAACAUAUCUGCACACUUGUAAAUAUCAGUACAUUGAUUUAAACAAUUGUUUUUU
Long non-coding RNA from Cyprinus carpio (common carp), 1782 nucleotides. RefSeq lists it as uncharacterized. NCBI's taxonomy places the organism in Eukaryota, Metazoa, Chordata, Actinopteri, Cypriniformes, Cyprinidae. The record is from RefSeq and is a predicted model, not a curated record.